AUUCUUUUCUCGAUGGUCAUCAGCUCCACCCAAGAUGCCCAGCACUUCGCCCUUCGCCUUACUCACCACUCGCCAGCCAUUCCUCUUUCAUCUUCCUCACCCUCCAUACUGAUUUUUUCAUCUCCCAGUCCUGCCUUAUUACGCAUAUGGAACAGUGUGUAAUACCCGGGACAUCCUCCCUGCUUUUCAUGCGAACAUGCAGCUCGCUACGUUUUAUACUUUCCGGUUUCCCGGUCUUUUAGCGUCAUUUUUGGCUGCUCAUCACUCAAUCUCUCAUUCGUUUACCUAAAGGCCAGACGGACAAUAAAACCAUGCAGAAUGCACAGUUUGAUGCAUGGUGAUGAUGGAUCGUGGUUUUCUGAGAUGCGUUUUUUCCUGAUCUGAGAUGCGCUGCUCGGGUCUAGAAAAAUGAAUGAUUCGGGGAUGAUGAAAUGCAUACGAGCUUCCUCUUUAC
This 454-nucleotide small RNA is filed under the name Cryptococcus neoformans H99. RNAcentral's name for it is "Cryptococcus neoformans var. grubii H99 hypothetical RNA". The record is from RNAcentral. Lineage: Eukaryota; Fungi; Basidiomycota; Tremellomycetes; Tremellales; Cryptococcaceae.